AACGAACGCUGGCGGCAUGCCUAACACAUGCAAGUCGAACGAAGCCUUCGGGCUUAGUGGCGCACGGGUGCGUAACGCGUGGGAAUCUGCCCUUGGGUUCGGAAUAACAGUUAGAAAUGACUGCUAAUACCGAAUGAUGUCUUCGGACCAAAGACUUAUCGCCCAAGGAUGAGCCCGCGUCGGAUUAGCUAGUUGGUGAGGUAAAGGCUCACCAAGGCGACGAUCCGUAGCUGGUCUGAGAGGAUGAUCAGCCACACUGGGACUGAGACACGGCCCAGACUCCUACGGGAGGCAGCAGU
RNAcentral lists this ribosomal RNA (299 nucleotides) under uncultured bacterium. RNAcentral describes it as "partial 16S ribosomal RNA". It matches the Rfam family "Bacterial small subunit ribosomal RNA", at positions 29 to 355 of the family's 1533-position model. The record is from RNAcentral.